UAACGCGUGAGGAACCUGCCUUCCAGAGGGGGACAACAGUUGGAAACGACUGCUAAUACCGCACGAUGCAUUUGAAUCGCAUGGUUUGAAUGUCAAAGAUUUAUCGCUGGAAGAUGGCCUCGCGUCUGAUUAGCUAGUUGGUGAGGUAACGGCCCACCAAGGCGACGAUCAGUAGCCGGACUGAGAGGUUGGCCGGCCACAUUGGGACUGAGAUACGGCCCAGACUCCUACGGAAGGCAGCAG
RNAcentral lists this ribosomal RNA (243 nucleotides) under uncultured bacterium. RNAcentral's name for it is "partial 16S ribosomal RNA". It matches the Rfam family "Bacterial small subunit ribosomal RNA", at positions 111 to 354 of the family's 1533-position model. The record is from RNAcentral.